GCCAAAAUUCGGUUGAGCACUGUAGCUAUUCAGGACUGGUGUGCAGAGAAUAGAGCUGGGUAUGAGGCCAGAAGCCAGGCAUGCACCGAUCCUUACAAGCCAAACACUCGAGAAAUGAAAAAACAGCUGAGGCCCAACUUCUAACACUCAACCAAGGCCAUGCGAAAACAUCAGCAGGGACUCAAGAAUACUCAGCCCAGGCUACCACUAAGAAGCUUGGAGCUCCAGAAAUAGAUAGAAGAAAAAAAAAACAAAAACGGUCAUUCAACACAGUAUGGCAACCAACCGGAAGUGCUUCACUGCCCACCAGGUUAUCACAAUAGAAAUAGAUAUAUAUGGAGAGAGAGAGAGAAAGAUUUUUUUUUCACAUCUGAAUUGACGCUCAUGCAGUCUUCUAGGUUUGGGCACGUUGAGACAGCAUUCACAUCCCAUGCAAACUACAAAGGAACUAGUUUUAGACUACACAUUGUGUUAAUAUUGAUAUUAAAACAUGACAGGAAACAAAAGCAAUUUUGUGUGAUUGAAAAAAAUCUUUGGGAAAGGGAUUUUGAAUUCAUUUGUGUGUGUGUGUGUGUGUGUGUGUGUGUGUGUGUGUGUGUAUUUCAUUCCAUUUCUCUUGGUUUUUGGAUCCAUUAAAUGACGAAUUUGUGUGUGGUUUUUUUUUUUUUAAAGACAAAAUAAAAAGAUCUCCAUUCUGUAUCUCCCCUUCUCCCCCGAUCCCUGCUGGCUACUACCUCCCCACCCCCUCCAUUUAUACCCUGCAUGAAAACUGGCAAUACUGAAGUGGUCAGAGGAUGGGAUAUGUCAUGGAAAGUUCAGGCAUCUUAACAGUAAUGAAGGCGGCAGAGUCCUCUUUUGGGGUGCAGAACAGGGUAUGGAGGGAGGGAGGGGAUGGGGUGGGAAUGGUAACCUGAAGGUUGGCUAAGGCUGGGGUGCUGCUAAUGAUCCUACAGGAUACCCACACACUCACCUCCUGCAGGAGAAGGAAAGGGGGGGGAUUUAAACUUUUUUCCCUUUGGUUGAAAAACAAAACAAAACAGGUAAGUAAUGAAUGCAGACCACACUAACCCAAAAGGCUGACAGAUAAAGCUUAUCUGACCACAAUGCAUCUUGGUUACUUUAUCUCAGGUAGGAACUCCAGACUGAGGCAAAGAAAGCUUGGACUGCAUGUUGGCUACUGAGGGAGACCCAGCAUCCUCAUAGCCAGAGACUGUGCACUGUGGCUGGGACAGGGGUGGCCAAAGGUGAUACUGCCUUAGGCUUAGCCUGUUUCUAAGUCACCACACCUUCCUAGUGAGGGCCCCUGACUACUAAGCAGGUGAAUUCUGCCUCAGCUUUUCUACCCUUUUAGUAGAUUAAACUCCAUUUGCUGUUAAAAAAUUCAUCAUAGGCCUCAGAUGGGGAUGCACACCUUUAAUCCCAGCACUCCGGAGGCAGAGGCCUGCAUAGCAAGUUCCAGGCCAGUGACACACUGAAAUCCCGUCUUAAAAAACAAAAACAGAGGGGUUGCAGUGAUAGAUAGCUCAGUGGUCAGGAGCACUGGCUGAUCUUCCAGAGGACCUGGGUUCAAUCCCCAGCACAGAUUCGGCAGCUCACAACUCCAGUUCCAGGGGAUCUGACACCCUCACACCAAAGCAUAUACAAUAAAAUUAAAUAUAUUAAAAAACAAAAACAGACCACCUCCCCAAACCCCCCAAAACUCCAAGCAAUUUCCAUCAUAAAAGCAAGCUCUUAUUGAUUUUGAAACUUCCAGCAGCUGCCAGACCUUAGCUAGCAUGUUUUAAAGAAACUCGGUGACAGAAAUUUGCUUGUCUUCAGCCUUAGAAGGCUUACUUCCUCCUCCUGGCUCCUGUGGUUGUUACAGCUGCCAAGAAGAACAUCUUAAGUGUACAGUGGAGUCCCUCUUGCCUGGGGACCUGUCGCUGGAGGCCCUCACUUCUCUUGUGGCUUUGAAGAUCAUGUAAGUGGAUUAUUUCUUUCCAUGCACUUGUCACGAGAGUGAGAAGAGAUUAAUGAUUCUCCCUUGAGAAGGGGACACAAGAUUCAAAGUGGACCAAACCACACUAGGUCCGGCUCCUGCCUCCCUCAGCAGAGGAAAGAGGGGCUAUCACCCCUGGAUGCCCUUGGGCAGGAUGCUCCCCUUUGAAGCACUGGCCAGAAAUUAAUAAACAAGACGAUCAAGCCAGUGGGCUAGGGGAGGAGGGGGAGGUGCUCCAAGCAAUAAUAGCUUAUUUGGAAAUGCACUGGCAGCAGGAUCUUUUGAAUCAAGAACAAUAAAAUUGCAGAUAACAGUUGUCCGUUCUUGCUCAGGAAGGCAAAAAGGGUGGGAUUGUCUUGGUGGACCACACUCUUUUCUUCUGGGCUCAGGAAACACAAAGAGCUCAACAGUGGGCUCUUGGUUCACCCAGGCACCAAACCUCCCUCUACAGAAGAAGGAACUGGCUUUGACUUUGGGCAAGAGGAUGGGGCGGAGUUGGGAAAGUGUAGUAGUGGAAGAUGGAGAGAGAGGUUUCUUUGUUUUUUUGUUUUCUUUCUCCUCUGAUAAGAUGCGCUUCUAGGAAGAUAGUAGACAGGCAAUGAAGAGAAGGCAGGAGAGCCUCACCCUUGGAGACAAAUCCAGCUAAAGAAAUACAAGAGGCAGCAGGCCGACGGAAGAAUGCUGUCCGGAGAGCCCUCUAUGGAAGGCUUAGAAGACAGGGGGGCUGUUGGUAUUCACCCUGCCCCUGGCAACUUUCCUGCUCCAUGUGCACCUGGAAGCCUGGCACUUGUAGUCUGGAGGGAAUUUUACAAGAAGCUCAUUUUAGGCCUACAGCACCCCUCCCUGCUCAGUCAUAUCCCAUCCAACAGCACUCUUGGAAGAGAGGCACUGUGCUAGAAACAUGGCUUACCGCCACCUCCAGUUCCACUGGAGUAUGUACUUGCUUGGCCAAAGCCCAUCCCAGCUCAAGGCUAUGCAGCAAGCAUCCCCCAUGAAGGGUGGAGGACUUGGCUGCUGAGUCCUCACAGAGGGUACAGUGCACAGGCAAUAGGUGCCUAGUGUCCUUCUCCAGGGACCAUGGAGCCUACACCCACAUGGGUUUGGCCACAGAGGAAAGAUGUCCCUUCAAGCUCCAUAGUCAACAUUCAUGUCUCUUGUGGCAGAAGAACCACAGCCCAGAUAGUGUGAUAAGGUCCCCAGGCAAGCAACCUAUUUAGGGACCCUGUUCAGGAAGGGAUAGGGACAGAUGCUUGGUGGCUGUUACUGCCUGCUGAGAGCAGGCGGGUAGCUGGGACAAAGAAAUCCCCUCUUUCUGGAAGUUAGCACAACUCCUCACACUGUACUUGCUGGCUACUUGAUAACAGGGUCUCUUCCUGUGAGCUGUGAGGGGCAAAGAAGCAGGCCAGAGGUCAAGUUCCCAUGAAAGUUCUCUCUGGGAGUUGGGGAUUUGACUCAGUGGUAGAGCGCUUGCCUAGCAAGUGCAAGGCCCUGGGUUCGGUCCCCAGCUCCGGAGGAAAAAAAAAAGAAUAGAAAGUUCUCUCUGUGAAAUGGAAGGCUCCCUUCCCUGGGCACUGAAACUCAUUUGGAGGGAUCAGGUGUGGUUCCCUAACUCCAAGAAAGGAUAGAGCAUCACUUUUCAUGGGUGAGGAAGGGCAUCUUGACUACUGUAUGGCUAGUCAAGCUGUGUGUGCGUGCGUGCCUGCGUGUGUGUGAUAUCGGGAAGUAUCAUGGAGUGCCGUCUAAGGUGGUCCCUCCUUCUGCACCUCACUGACCUUCAGCAUCCUCUGGCUUUUCCAGUCCAGGCAGUGCCCUCGGGGGGCAGGUACAAUGGAUAGAGAGGGACACUGGACUUGGAGUCAGAAGACCUUAGUUUGACUCUGGCUCUACCCUGACACUAGCUUGUGUCCUUAUCUGUGACACAUGAGUAAUAUGCCCCUUAUUCAAUCUGAGUCGCUAGACUGCUGUGAGAAUGAAAAGGAGAAAAAGCUCUGUGACUUAUCAGGUAUAUGCAGAGCCCCACAUAGGUCCUGUAUGCACAUUUAGCAAAGUCCAAUAGAGGAAAAUGCAAUCCACUUGCCAUACAGACCUAGAGGUGAUUACAAAAGGGUUCAAUCCAUCCAUCUGGUGCAUUUAAUCACCCUGGACCUGAAAAAAAGGACUCAGGGGUGGGGGGUGCGACAUGAAAAGCGGGGACACUUGCUAUACCUCAGAAGGCUAGCAAAGCAAGAGGGAUGUAUUGGAAUGAGAGUUGGAGGUAUUUUAUAUUAAAUGAAAAGCUUCCUGAUGCGCAAGAAAACACCUAGAUGGCUGACCCAAUGAGGCCUUCCUAUCUCCUCUCAGAGAUGGGAAUGGAAAUUGGACCAGCAACCUGCACUGGGAAUGCACAUCCUUACGUGUGUGUGUGUGUGUGUGUGUGUGUGUGUGUGUGUGUGUGUCUGUAUGUGCUCUGCUUACCUGUGGUCAGGAAGGGCUGGGCCAAGAGUGGAAUUAAUCUUAGUGGGUAGAGAAAACUCACAAUAGCCUUACUGUAGGUCCAGGAAAAGAAAUGGAAGUCCAGGUCUUUCUAUCUUUCUAUAUUGUCUAAAACUGGGUAGAAUUUGACGGGAGCAGCAGAGAAGGAAACCACUCACAGCCACAGUACCCAGGAGAUGUUGCAUUAAACCAUUCAAUAUCUGAACAUGUAGCCUCUGUCUCCUUGUCCAGCCCUUUAGGGUAUAGGACCAAAAUACCAAAAUUGAAUAGGGAACCCAAAUGAUGAAAGCAGGUGAACUCCAGUUUGAUGUUGAGAAAGACCCUCAGCCUGUUUUGAUCUGUCCAUGGGGCACAUCAUCUACCUAACUUACGAGGGAAGCAACCAGUACGGUUUUCCCAUGUGUCUCUAGUCACACCCACUUGUGACUGUGCUGCUACACAUUCAUUGUGACAGUCCCAUCCCUGCCUGUCCCAGCCAUAGCUCCCUUGGGUCUUAGAUGAAGGUCCCAUGCCUGCCUGUCCCAGCCAUAGCUCCCUUGGGUCUUAGAUGAAGGUCCCAUGCCUGCCUGUCCCAGCCAUAGCUCCCUUGGGUCUUACACAUUACUUCUCAUAUGACCAGUGUGUAUUUCUCUGUGCUACAAACAUACUGCAGAGCUAUGAGAUCCAAGGCUAGGACUUAGGCUAUAGACUUAGAAGAUGGUCUAGCUUGGAUUCCCGAAAUGAUGGCUACCUAAGAAUCAGUGGUCAGCACCUCCCUGCUAGGAAUGCCAGGGCAGGAGGUGCACUACUAUGGCUGGGCCAAGAGAGGUGAGAGCUAAUGGGAUAAGAGAGUACCAGGCUGGAUUACCCUGUGUAAUAGAUGAGCAAACGCAGGGUCUUAGGACUGAAUCCAGUUCUAACUUGAAAGUACAUGUAACUUCAGUCAGGUGCCUGUCCUUGAAUCAUUUUGGUGCUGUAGACACCUCUCUUACUAGCACUAGCCAGGGAUGGUCGGGUGGUGCCUACAAAGACAUGGGGGACUUCAUCUCUGCUGAUGACUGGGGCACCUCCUACUGUGUCUUAAAACAAAGAACCCUGUGGCAAAAAGCAGAGAUGCAGUCAGUGUUGGGAGUCAGUAAGUGGGAGAGGACACUGGCCAAGCCCUCACUGAGCUCAUCAUCCCUGUCAAAAGAGCCUGGACACACUGGGGUCCCCAGAGAACUAACUCAGCCCUCAGAGUCCACCCCACUCUGCUGGGUCCUGUGAGGAGCUGGGACACCUUAGGGCUGGUUGGCAUUUGCGACCCAAUCACAUCUAACGGCAUCUUGGCACCAGGGGAUCCAGCAUCUGGGUGUGGGUGGUAGAUGGUGGGUGAGGAGGGUGCUCAGGGCAUAGCCCCCCGAGGACCUGUACAAAAGGCUUUCCACUCGAGUAGUCCGUCUUUAAUGAUUGUGAAGGCACAGGAGUUUAAUCCAUUUUUGAUGUAAGCACUAAUAGCUCUGUGUCCUUGAAGUUCAAAGCGGGCGCAUACAUGUCACUAAUUAACCAAGCGCAGAGCCAUUCAGCUCCCUCUCAUGUUCCUAAUUAGGUCUUUAAUAACAAACAAACUCCGACCUUAGCAAGAGGCUCCCAUUUGUCAGCGAGUCUAGGAGUAUGGCUGCUUCCCUGUUUACAGUUGUUCUAAACUUUUUGCUCCUAAUCUCAGCCUAGCCUCAAGGGGAGAAUCUCACCUCAGGAGACAAGGACCCCUAAGGCCAUCCUUGAAGGUGGUCUUGUUGGCCCUGGUAGGCAGAAGAGCCCUGAGGCCACAGGGACCCUAAACCUAGGCUGGUGACUUUCCCCUGCUUCUGUUUGAAGGAUGCUAGGUGCCUGUCAUGGUCAGGGAUGGUAUAAAGUUGUAAAACUAACCAGGACCUGAGGCUAUGGUUACACAUUGACUUUGCCUAGGCUCUGAUUCGAUGGAUUUGAAAUAUGGCCUAGCAAUGAGGAAGUUAGAAAAAUGCUGAGAUGAUCCCAGCAUGCAGCAUAGCUGCAACAAAUCUUUAGGGUGGCUCGAUCAUUCGCAGCGAUUAGCAAGUCUUCUGUUAUUGCACGUGUGUGGUGUGUGUGUAUGUGUGCAUGUGGAGGCCACUGUCAAGUGUCUUUAUUGUUCUCCACCUUAGUUGAGACAGAGUCUCUCGAUGAACUUGGAGCUCAUCAAUUUGGUGAAGCAGGCUGACCAAUCAGCUCCAGGGAUUCACGUAUCUCUACCUUGUGGGUGCUGGGAUUAGAGAUGCAACUGUGCCUCGCUGUUAUGUGAGCACUGGGGAUCAGAACUCGGGUCCACCCACUUGCAAAAGGACACCCUUUACCAACUGGGCCAUCUCCCCUAGCCCCAGGUCUUCUGCUAUUAAUGAAUACUGUUCACAAAGACAGAAGAAUCCCAGAAGCCUACAAGUUCCCACCAAGCACACUCAAGACUAGAAAUCUGACAUACUGAAAAUGCGAUUCUAACUGUAAACAGAGGCCCGCUUCACCCCCAUGCAUACUGCACUGGAUGGCCUACUGUUCUCAAGGGCACACCCUACACCUCCACGGGAUUUCCUGUCACUGGGAUGCUCUCGGCUUUCUCUGCGCUCUAUCCUUAAGCCACUGUCAUUUUCACUGCUUAUGUCUCCUAGGACGAAGGAUCAGGAGCUUUGGACAGAGCAGCAUACAGAGCUGCGGGGUUGAUGGGACUAUUGGGGACUGGAAGUCUGAAAUCCUCAUUUAGUGGAGGUGGAUGCCAGCCAGGAACCGGGCCCCGCCCAUCCUCCUGUGGGUUUAUCGUCUGAACUAUUCCUCACUCACAGGCAUCUCCUUUCCCAGGAGGCGGGUGCACCUCUUGGUGGUUUCAAUUUCCUCUUAGCUAUUUGAACCUUGAAGGUCAAGACCUAGGGAAUGGAGGUCAUGAACUCGGUGAGACCCCUACUAGCAUGUCCUGGUGAGUUUACUCUUCAAAGCAGGCAAACAGAAAACGAGGUUGGCAGAGGGAGACCUGAAAACCUCAGGGGCUACACCUCCGUGGAAGGUUUAAAGGGUGUUUUUCUGCAUUAAAAAGACAAUGUGAGGUCAAAGACAGAAUAAAGAGACAAGGAGUUUCUUCCAAUGUCACGCUGUCCCUGCUGUGUUUCUGGUCUGUUCUCUGUCGGGGGAGGGGUGGGUUAGUUUUGUGACUCUUCAGGGAACCCACCUUUCUGUGUGUACCUGUAAGGCUGAACUCUCCAAGGCCUGGGAAGCCUACCCUCUCCAAGACAUAGUCAGAAAUAACUUCCAGAAAGAAAGGGAAGCUGGCUGGGAAACUGGCUGGCCUGCUUUCCUCACACAUCAGUCUCUACCACAGGCACCCAGGCGCAAGCGUGGCAUUCACUAUUUGCCAUGGACCUGGACAGACCACUUUAUUAAUAUUAAUAAGUAGCCAGGAACAAAGGGCCCAUUUAUUUUUAGCCUUCUUUAAUUGUGUAGUAAUUACUCAUCUACAAAACAAAUGAGCCCCUGUUUGCAGUUGCUAUGGUACCUGGUGCCCAAGCCUCCCUGAAAGAAGAUUGGGCAAGGAGUCGGUUGCGCCUGUGGCCACACCCCCUUCUCCACCAUUGGUCCAAAGCACAGCCCCAGCAACUGGGCAGCCAAUGGCUUCCUUGCUCUUGGGCUGGGCAGUGUUUCCCAACCACUUUCCAGAUGCGGUUUGUGCAAGGCAAAGAAAGGGAUGCUGACUCCUCCCUGCAGAGAAGUCUGCCUACCCAGAGAUUCCCACCCCUAUCCAUCACCUCAGACAGAGACUAACUCCUUUCAGCUGUAUUUUACCUAAAGGUUCCCUUCAGAAAAUUCCCUUCAACCUGGCUCCCUCCGGUUGAACCACACCUCUUCUGGGUCUCCUUUGUCUGACACUGGUCCGAAUAGAUGCAGGGACCAAAUCAAAAUGUCAGCCAAAGAUCAGCCAGGCAGAACCAUGCUGCUGAGUCCCAACAACAGAAGCAGGUGCAAAAAUGCAGAGCGUGCCUCUCGAGACCACUUGUAAAUGAUUUUGGUUAUCGUCUCCCCUAAGGAUAGGAAGAAUUGAGUGGGAACAGCUGCACCUUUCUGUUGAGUGUUUAAAAGUUGCAGUUUGGCUCAGCCGUAGCUAGACUGGUACAUCAGUAUGUGCUGAUAGUGGCUGAGAGCACAGGCUGAUGGGACAGGCUCAAAUCCUGUCACUGCCACCUCAGAUAAGCUACUAUCUCUUCCCGGAGCCACAGUUUGUAAUCUCUAAAAUGGGAAGGAGACUGAUGGUGCCCAUUUAUGGCUUCAGAAUUAAGUGGGGGUAUGGUGUGCGGGCUUGGUGCACAUGGCACUCGACUCAUCAUGGAGCAGCUACUGGUGAAUUGAUGUUAUUAUUAUUGUAUUAAUAAAGUGGGGGAAUGUCUCUAAUGCCUUCUUGUUAACAGGAUACUCUUCUUUAAGGAAACUUCCGGCAGAUGUGUAUUUUGAGACGUUCGGUUCACCAGGUGUGGUUAAUCCCAGCCAGACAAGGACAAUGAAAGAUGGACGGGACCAGCAGAAAGAACAAGGGCAGAGGCUGCCAUGCGGGCAAAGGAAUGAGAACUGACAGUCGGAGGAUGGCAGUGGGUGACAACUUGUCACUGAAGGUUCUCAGCCCAUAAAUCCUCUAUGAAACACAAACAGCUAAAAGCAUCGUGACUCAGGCCUAGUGAUGUACCUACCAUGUCCAGUGACGACUACUGUCCCACACUUGGUAAGUAUCAGCUGAAUUCAGCUUUGGCAGAUGGCCUUGGCUCUGUUUAUACAAUCUCCAUCUGGAAGGCUGGACUGUGUGGAAUGACCCACAACUAGACCUCAGGGCUGUCUGGGUGUUCCCUGUACAGCUGACUGUGUGAGGUGUCUGGGUGGCAGGUCUAUGGUGGCCAUUUCUCCACAGGACUCAUUUCAGGAGGCCAAACACCUGUGUCGGAUCCAGUGCGCGUCAGCUUGACUCGAGCCUGUUUCCAGGUUACCAGGAGUGCGACUCUGGAUAAGUCACAUCGACAUUCUGCAGGCCUGCUCUCAGGAGAAAACAUGUAAACCAAGCCAACCCUGCUUUCCUGUUUAGCUCGUGGCUUAGGUGUGGCUGAAUAUAGUUAUCAAAGCUCUUUGAAAUAUAUGGCACCAGGACGCCUCCAAGCCUCUGUCCCUCUGAUGGUUCUCAUCAACCCUAGGGCGUGACCACCUUUCAGGUCUGUCCACAAAUGGGAGCGGGUCCCUAGGCCUAUUGUGUUCUCUCUGCUUGUGCAGAAGACUCCUUGACAGUUGCGCCUGGGCUUUCUAGCCAGUACUCGAACGACAGCUCACCCUCUUAAGGGACAGUCAGGAAUGUGUCAACUACUGAAAACCGUUCCACUGAUUUAAAGACCAUUAACAUUCCCCCACUCCAUCUGCUUCCAGAUUAACUUAUACUUCGGUCUGGACUUUAAGGCUAGUCGCUAAUUGCUCUAGAGUUCAUUUAUCAAGUGCAUGGUAUUUCUAUUACAAAAUUAUUGAUUGGAGCUGAUGUACUGUAUCCUCAAUGGGGCUGGUCCGAAAGCCCUUGGAGAAUGAAUGAAGCCGAGGUCAGCGUCAGAAGCCUGCGCACGUUAUUAUAGACUCUGUGGCGUUACUUAAACCUCACUGCCAGUCUUUGUGGUUAAAGCCCUGACUCCUUAGAAAUGACAGUUUUAAUGACAACCUGGGAAAAUAGGUGCUCUUCAGAACACAGGCCAGGGCUUGAAAAAGGAAUACUGAAGUAACACUGUGGGUGAGCCAAGUCCAGCUAGUCGUGGCACCUUGUCCUGCCCCAGUGGGUCAUACCUUUCUUCCCCUCUGACCACUAUACUGAUUCUACUUAUGGCAACAGACAUGACUGUGUCCUAAGGAGAGGCUCUCUUCGUGACUUUGCCCACAGAUAGGCCACAGCCCCCCGAAAGGAUGUAUCUUUGCUGACACAGGUUGAGAGGAAAGCAGAGAGCUGUCCUGUGUCUCCCACUCUUCAUCUCCCAUCAGAUCUUGCUGACAGAAGUGCAGAAAAGCUAUUCCCAGAGCUGAAGCCACACACUGAUCCCCCCAACCCAUUCUCUGUCAUGUAUGCAUGUAGGCAGGUAUAUUUACCUGUGCGUGUGCAUGUGUGUGCAGUUCAGAGGUUGAUGUCAGGUAUUUAUCUUAUUUUUUUUUUUGAGACACUGGUUUCUCACUCAAACCAGAUCUUGCCGUUUUAACUUGCAUGGCUGUCCCAUGAGCCUCCAGGAUCUGCCUGACUGCCCACGUAAUGCUGGGGGUUACAGGUCUGUGCUAUCACAGUCUGCUAUAUCUGGCUUUUCUGAAUUUUAGGGCUCAGAAGUCAGAACCUCAUGUAUGUGUGGCAAGUUCUUUACCAAACAAUCUCUCAAGCCCAUUUUCCCAUUUUAUAAUGGAGUCAGAGGUGGCACACGAUUUCUGCUUGUGUCCUUUCAGUGAAGGCUGUGGGAUGCCCUCCAGAUGGGAGACAAGGCGGGGACAGGGGAGGGAUGGAGAGCUUUGAGACACUUUCACAAAGGUGGCUGCAGAGACCCAGAACCAUCUCGGAAGGGCUGGGAUGUCCUGCCAGUUUCUUGGGCCCUAUCCUCCUCCACUGGUUUAGGAGAGGCCUCACAGUCCUGUGGUGGGCAUGCUAGUCUGCCCACUUGCUUCCUGGGCUGGAACUCUGAGGGCUCUAGACUACAGGCACCGAAGCUGUCCUAGGAUGCAGGUUAGUAGCCCGGGGUUCUGCUCUCUGGUUUCUGUUCCCAUUCGCUGCUCUUACUUGCUAGGUCAGUUUGCAUCUGCAGCAGCACUGAAGCCUAGUCCCAGCCAUUUUCUGCUGCCUGCCUCCCCUGUCCCCAGGGAGACCAUGCUGAAGGAUGGCUCCUCCUGGGUUUUUCCACAUGGAGCCUUUGUGUCCUCAUUCUGUCUGGCCCGGCGCAUGCUCAGUUCUUUCGUGUUCUAACUGCCAGACCAUCCCGAGCUUCCCCGCUUCCCCCAACAAGACUUCUGUUUCAUUCUAUCAUGAUAUAGCCUUUUGAAGAUGUUAUGGGUUCUGUGACUCUUUUCCUGAAUUCCAUGUCCCAAGAUAGAUAACUUGUAUCCUAUGGCCCUUUCUGAUGGUAGGGUUUGGUCAGAGCCAUUAUGCACCUUGACUUGACAUGAAGAUUCUGGGUCUAAGAAAGUUAGGGACAAAAGCUCUAAGGUCUCUGGUACUCCCUUUGUGGAGUGUUACAUGCAGAGAAGACAGAGUGUCCAAAGAUGCUUGCCCACACAUGCCAUAGGGAGGACAAAGGCUUGCUCCAGAAAAACAUUUCUAGGGAGUCCUAGGGGGAACGGGUGGCUCUUCUGUGGCUGUCUCAGGCCUACAUGAUUCUCUCUUCCCUGAGAAGCUGUGUCAGUCACCACUGGGAGGGAUGCUGGACCAUCGCUCAUGCCAUUGGCCCCUUUCACCAUUACCACUCAAAAGAGCCGGUGUCAGCAUCUAUCAGAGUCAAAUGUACCCGCUGUCUGCAAGGGCCGAAGCUCUCAGUCUCUUUCUUACCACACCUUACCUCCCUCUACCCACAGGAACAGAUGACACAGGCUGAUCUUUUCAUAGGGACCUGUGUCCCUGAAGGGCUCAAGGAGAAGCUGGGCUUAGAGGAGGCUGGCUGAUGGCCUUAAAAACAAGAAAAGAUCUGUUGCUUUGGUGGAGAAUGGUGUGGGAGAGAUAAGAACUCAGAAGAACACGAUGACUCCUUCCGACUCUGGCUCCCCUUGCUUUCGCUAUGGUGAACACGGAGUUUGUUGGGCAGGCUAGAGCUGAAGGGGGUGACCCAGUGGAGAGCGUGAGGAGAGGUGGUGGUGGCUGAUGGCGAGCACAUGGAUCCAAGGCCUUGGCGACAUUGAAAACAUGGAAGCCCUUCUCUUCCUGGUCCCCAUGCUACCCUUCAGACAGCAGUGUUGGGUCGCACCCUCGGAGACCCUGUAGUAUCAACUCAACAAUGCAUGUUCUACAACUACGGCUACAGCUAUCAGGACAUCUACUACAGUGCAUGCAUUUAGUUCAGUCCCACAGAUACAUACAAUCUAAGAACAGGCAGGGGAGGUGUGAAAUGUUUUACUAGACAACAGGUGUUUUGGAGUUGUAACUGAUAAAAAAAAUAGAAAAACGUAAAGUGUACAAAAAAAAAAAAGAGAGAGAGAGACAUUUCUUGAGAGUGGGAUGAGUUUGUUUCUUGAACUGUUUUAUCUGAACAAGCAAAACAUGCAAACCAGCUGGUACUAACAGGAAGCUGGACACUGAGAGGGGAACAGGUGUGGACAAACCUUCCUGCUGAGCGUGCUCAGAAGAGUGUCUGAGAGGACGUGUGCAGGUCCUAGUGUAAGAGAGGCGGGAAAGUAUGCCUCAGACACUCUCUCACCGCAGCCCCAACCAAGCAAGAGAAAAGACAACAGAGACAUGACUGCUCACACUCACCACCACCGUCAGGAACUUACGUCACUAGACUGGAAUAAAGCUGGCAAGUAUAAAGUACAGUAAGGGGUCCUGGCUGGGGCCGGAGGGUGGGUAAUACCAGGGGAGGGCUGCUCGGCAAGCUCUAAGAGUCAUACACGGACCCACCAAUGAGGUCAUCCCAGAAUAAAAGUACCCUGAAAAUUGGUACCAUUUUUUUUCCUCAGGUUGGGGGCGGGGGGGGGGGAGGAGGUGUCAAGUGUCCAACCAGAUUUAUGUUUGGAUGGGACGUGAUGGGGGUGGUGCCGCUGGAACUGGAUGAGCACAAUCAAAAUAAACGAACUCUCGACUGAGCACGAGAAAAGAUGAUGUUUCAGACUGCCAGGUGAACGUGAAAGGAAAGUGACCACUGAUAGUGAAGUUAUCUAGGAGUCGGCAGGGAGGUCCCCUGCUGGGCCUGUGCCCUGCUCACCUCAGGUUCUGGGGGAAGUAAGGAAAGGUAGGCAGGCCAGCCCAGAGGAACAGGCAGCAACUCAAGGCCUCCCCCUUGACUGCCUCAAUACCACAGCCCUGACGGAUACAAGUUGCCACCCCGAGAAAGAUCCAAGCUGCCUCCCACCCCCAUGGCCCUUAGUAGGUGCUUCCUAACAUGAGGAGGAGGGAGGUCAAAAUAAAGGGGUGGGGGGAGCGGGGGAAUUAAACCGGUGGGGCUAAAUAAAAAUGACCAAAAAAAAAAAAAAGUUGCUCUCAGUAAGACGUCUAAUCCCUAACCCAAGUCCAGGAAGCAGAGACACAUUUCCUAGAGUCUGUAGUCAUUGUCAGGUGUGGCAUGGUGCUGAUCGAUGGAUUCUAAGGAGAUUAUAAGGAUUCCUGAUACAGAAUGCUUGCUCGGGAGGCCGGGGCAGGGGCAGUCUUAGCUUUGGGGGACGACCUGGGAGUAAGGUGAGGCAAGGUUUGAGGAGCUGGUACAGGGAAAUCUGGAUCAUCCAGUGCCUGGGAACCCUCUGGGACCUGGUGUAACACAUACACUGAUGUAUGGCUUUCCUCAAUUCACAACAGAGUAUUUGUCAAUGAAGGACCAAUCAAAGGUAUAUUAACUGGCCAACCUCUUCCAGGCUCAGAGUUUGGGUCAUCUUCUAGAAAGAAAGUGACAGUCCCCCUACUGGCCAAAAUAUGUUAAAAGAAAAAGGCAGAGUUCCCUUCCCCAACUUGACAGCUUUGGUCCAAGUCCAAAGGUGGGGCGCUGGGCUGGGCUUCCUGGUCUCCAUACACAGAUCGGGCCAUGUUCUCUAUGGUGGGCACAGCCCAAGCCUACUUGGCAGAGCUGGGCGGUUCCCCUUGGGUGGGUACCUCAAGCUGAGGAUUUACUCCUUGUACUAACCCAGGCUGGGGUGGGCAGGGGUUUGGGGAGCGUCCUCCUGAAUACGAUUCACUAACAGUGCAGCGAUGAGCAUGGCUGACCUUGAUGGCCUGUGGGAGAUUUGGCUCCCGAUGGAAAUGGCUACAAAUAAAACACCACUGAUCCGGGAAACAAAAUGUGUGGUUGGAGAUGACCUUGAGGGUUAGGAGUUAGAGGGAUGGGUGAGUGGGGUUCCCGCCUGGCUGGGGAGGGAGGAGGGACCUGUGCAUGGGCAGAGUGGCAGAAGGGGGCACAGCCCGGGGAGACGGCUCUCAGACUCGCAAAGAAUCCCAUGCUGCCCUUUAAACUUGCCAUGGAGUCAAGGGGAUCGGGGUGGGGUGGGGAGAGAGGCAGGGUUAAUUUCGGGUUAAAGUUUAGUUUCAUAAUCCAAGUUAUCAAAAGAAAGAAACUGAUCGGAGAAAACAAACAACACUCACAAAUUUCAAGACUGUUCUUUUGAUCUUUCUCCCCUCCCAGGCACAGGUAGGAAUGAAGCUUUUUGGUUUUUUGUUUUGCUUUCUUUUUUUUCAUUCCCCCAAAGCAUUCAUAAUAACCCCCAAAACCAGAAACAUGAAGACAUGAUGCAACUGUGCACCUGUCCUAGGGCCUGGGAGUGGGGAACACCAAGGGACACUGGCCAGAGGGCAAGGUGGGACCUUUACAGACUAGAGUGGGUAGAAGUUGAGAGAGCCCAGCUCUCUGGGCUUCCCAGCCUGCCUGCCAAUCACAAGUUCUCUGGCAAACUGCCCCUCAGUAGCCCCCACCUCAAUUAAUUCUCUCCCUGAACCACCCCCAAAACUCCAGUGGAUAUCUUGGGGGAGGGGAUCCUUUGUAGCUUGGAGGCCAGUGCCAGUUUGCAUGGAACGGAUUUUCUCUGACAUUUUCUAAUGAGUCUUACUAUACCAGUUUGGGUUUUUGGCAUUUGCCCUCUGGGCCUUUAACGAUCCAUUUCCUGGAAUCUUCCCCAGCACCCCACCCCGCCCCACCUUCUGCAGAGCCUAGUUCUGUUAAAUCAGUGCUCCAGAGCCCUGCCUGACGGGGCAGAGUGUUAGGGCAAGGGUGCCAACCUGGUACCAAGCUGCUCAGUGGAGGGAGGGGCAAGGUGGAGAGAGCCGCUGUCGGCAGGGGUGCCCAGUGCAUGGCAGGGAGCCCUUGGCACUUGUGGCGGGGUGACAUACCCCGGUUCUGGUUGGACCUUAUAAUAUUGCUGGGAAAGUGGUCCCUGGCGACUGGACAAAAGUCAUGGGAAAGAAAGUUCUAAUCUCUUUGGUGGGCUACCUGACUGAAAAGAGAGUCUGGGGUUCCAGGGACUCUCACAGCAUGGCUCAUUCCUUUGCUUCCCUCAGGGAUUGGUUCAUCUCUGGCCUCAAGUGGAGACAGAGUAAAAAACCCACCUGCCAGGCUGGGCAGGAGAGGGAGCCUACUUUUACCUCUUUGGCCUGGUCAGAGAUCAAAAAAAAGGAACCUUCUAAACCUGCCAGAGCCAUGGAC
Non-coding RNA from Rattus norvegicus (Norway rat), 15780 nucleotides. The record is from RefSeq and is a predicted model, not a curated record. Lineage: Eukaryota; Metazoa; Chordata; Mammalia; Rodentia; Muridae.